CCAUAGCCUGUUAGUGUAAAGUACACGUCUAACUAGCACCCUAGAUUAGAUAAUAUCAUUGAAGCCUACCUUUGGCAUAAUUGACUUAGUCACCUUUUAUUGGAAAGGGUGAAUGAGCCAGCAAUAUUCUGAGUUUAGUACAUAUUGAUGUAUUUGCACUCAUGAACAUAAGUGCCAGAAGCAGACUUUACUACUUCAUUAAAAUCUCUGACGACCUAUCUUGGUAUGGAUGCAUCUUGCUUAU
RNAcentral lists this long non-coding RNA (244 nucleotides) under Elaeis guineensis (African oil palm). Its description in RNAcentral is "long non-coding RNA (EGUI_LNC038070)". The record is from RNAcentral. Lineage: Eukaryota; Viridiplantae; Streptophyta; Magnoliopsida; Arecales; Arecaceae.